Molecule: ribosomal RNA, 696 nt
Filed under: uncultured organism
Description: bacterial SSU rRNA
Rfam family: Bacterial small subunit ribosomal RNA
Source: RNAcentral
GGCUUAGAGUUUGAUCAUGGCUCAGGAUAAACGCUGGCGGCGCACAUAAGACAUGCAAGUCGAACGGAAGUCGUUGUAAUGAUUUUGACAUGGACGGAGAACUUGUUCAAAGGAAAUGAAGAUUGACUUACAACAAUGGCUUUAGUGGCGGACUGGUGAGUAACACGUAAGCAACCUGCCUAUCAGAGGGGAACAACAGUUAGAAAUGACUGCUAAUACCGCAUAUGCCUAAGUAUCGCAUGAUACAAUAGGGAAAGGAGCAAUCCGCUGAUAGAUGGGCUUGCGUCUGAUUAGAUAGUUGGUGGGGUAACGGCCUACCAAGUCAACGAUCAGUAGCCGGACUGAGAGGUUGAACGGCCACAUUGGGACUGAGAUACGGCCCAGACUCCUACGGGAGGCAGCAGUCGGGAAUAUUGCGCAAUGGAGGAAACUCUGACGCAGUGACGCCGCGUGCAGGAAGAAGGUUUUCGGAUUGUAAACUGCUUUAGACAGGGAAGAAAAAAGACAGUACCUGUAGAAUAAGCUCCGGCUAACUACGUGCCAGCAGCCGCGGUAAUACGUAGGGAGCAAGCGUUAUCCGGAUUUAUUGGGUGUAAAGGGUGCGUAGACGGGAAGACAAGUUAGUUGUGAAAUCCCUCGGCUUAACUGAGGAACUGCAACUAAAACUAUUUUUCUUGAGUGCUGGAGAGGAAAGUG